ACCUUAUGAUGAUGAUGAAAUGGUUAAGGAUGUGGGUUUCUCUAGUUUAACGGCUGAAGAGGACCUUAAUUGGUCCUAGAACGGCCUGAGGUAGAGGGGUUUUAGUCGGUAGGUCCGAGGACUUCUUCCUCGGGAAUCCGACACUACCCAGUCGUACGGACGACUGGGUGUCUUUUGAAGAUUUCUCCUCUUCCACGAAA
Non-coding RNA from Agrilus planipennis (emerald ash borer), 200 nucleotides. Lineage: Eukaryota; Metazoa; Arthropoda; Insecta; Coleoptera; Buprestidae. The record is from Rfam.